GCCAAUGUAGCUCAGUGGUAGAGCGCAUCCUUGGUAAGGAUGAGGUCACGGGUUCAACUCCCGUCAUCGGCU
Molecule: transfer RNA, 72 nt
Filed under: Paludibacteraceae bacterium
Lineage: Bacteria; Pseudomonadati; Bacteroidota; Bacteroidia; Bacteroidales; Paludibacteraceae
Also listed under: 1 other name
Description: tRNA-Thr
Rfam family: tRNA
About the family: Transfer RNA (tRNA) molecules are approximately 80 nucleotides in length. Their secondary structure includes four short double-helical elements and three loops (D, anti-codon, and T loops). Further hydrogen bonds mediate the characteristic L-shaped molecular structure. tRNAs have two regions of fundamental functional importance: the anti-codon, which is responsible for specific mRNA codon recognition, and the 3' end, to which the tRNAs corresponding amino acid is attached (by aminoacyl-tRNA synthetases). tRNAs cope with the degeneracy of the genetic code in two manners: having more than one tRNA (with a specific anti-codon) for a particular amino acid; and 'wobble' base-pairing, i.e. permitting non-standard base-pairing at the 3rd anti-codon position.
Source: RNAcentral